CGAUAAGUAUAUAGUAAAAUUUAUCUGAUCAAAUGUAAACGUAUAGGUAAUUUAUUAUCUACUCUAAAUUCAUUAUAGCAAUCUAACGUUAAAAAAAUCUCGAUGAUUUGAAAAUUCGAUAAAUUGAAUUUACGAGCCAAUUUUUAGAGUUCGGAUGUGAGCUAAAUACACGAGGAAUUUUUUUUUUCGUUUUACAGUCACGUGUAAUUAUUCUGAGUAAAAAAAUAAAGGUGUAACAAACUCCUGAUGCGACCGUGUCGUGUGUUUUAUAGCCCGUAUAUUGCAUUUCACCAUAUUAUAAUGUAUAUGGCAGUGUGCACUGUGCAAGUGAAUGUAUGUGUUGUCUCGGAUGGCAGUAGCAAAGCAAAGAUCUCGCCAGAAUACGUGCAAUGGAUAUAAUAACGGCGUUGUUGACGAGGUUGAUGACGAGGAAGAGGAAGGAGCAAAAAAAAAACAUUUAGUGUAUACGACGUUGCGUACUUAAUAAGUUGUCAAAUUGUAAGUAGUAUAAAAUGAUUUAUAGAUUCAACAUAAUGGCACAUGCAUUUUUCGAAGACGUCUAUUGUGAAUGCGAGAUUAAAAGAAGCUUGGAGUUGGAUGGCACAAUAGAAGAUCAUAAUAUAUAUCGGGGCCAGGCCGUCGGCAGCUAUUAUGUCGACGUCGGUAUCCAAAGAAGCAGCUAUACACUCUCUGUGUGAGUGACUUCUCGGUCGGGAGACAGAGAGAGAAAAAAACGCAUAAUCAUUGUGGUUUCCAUGAAAGAGGAUCAAGAAUGUUCGAGGAACCGAUAGGAAAGCAUUUUAUUGAAAAGCUGUAAGUGUGAAUAGAGGUACAAAAUGAACCUUGGAGGAGAGCAUUAUAAAAUUUCGAAAAAUUCAACAAAAUACUUAACUGUAAAAAAACACUCACGCAUUUAGCGUGAGAAGACCGACUUUUCUUCAAAUAAAAAUCUUUUACGAACGAA
This is a long non-coding RNA of Planococcus citri (citrus mealybug), 964 nucleotides long. RefSeq lists it as uncharacterized. NCBI's taxonomy places the organism in Eukaryota, Metazoa, Arthropoda, Insecta, Hemiptera, Pseudococcidae. The record is from RefSeq and is a predicted model, not a curated record. The transcript is spliced from 3 exons.